CUGGCAGUCAUUCACUGUCCGAGUUGUAAAUUGAAGAGAGUGUCAUCCACGCUGGACCACGUCCAAAUUGUAAUGAUCCACAGUCCUUUGAUGGAGUAUCAGAGAGGGUAAUAAUCCCGUCUUUAACGUGGACUUGCCAGUGUUUCUGUGAUGCACUCUCUCAGAGUCGAGUAGUUUGGGAAUGCUGCUCUAAUGGGAGGUAAACUCCUUCUAAAGCUAAAUAUUGGCGAGAGACCGAUAGCGAACAAGUACCGUGAGGGAAAGAUGAAAAGAACUCUGAAAAGAGAGUCAAACAGAACGUGAAAUUGCUGAAAGGGAAGCNUUUGGAGUCAGACACGUCUUCAUGCAAUACGACUCSGCANUAAAGCUGAAGGGAGUGCUUGAAACGGGCCAGCAUUCACGAAAACCAUUGAAGAAGGGUCAUGGAAUGUA
This 432-nucleotide ribosomal RNA is filed under the name Cantharellus odoratus. Its description in RNAcentral is "partial large subunit ribosomal RNA". It matches the Rfam family "Eukaryotic large subunit ribosomal RNA", at positions 122 to 507 of the family's 3401-position model. Lineage: Eukaryota; Fungi; Basidiomycota; Agaricomycetes; Cantharellales; Hydnaceae. The record is from RNAcentral.